CCUACGGGAGGCAGCAGUGAGGAAUAUUGGUCAAUGUUCGGGAGACUGAACCAGCCAAGCCGCGUGAGGGAUGAAGGUACAGAGUAUCGUAAACCUCUUUUGUCAGGGAACAAAGGCGGGGACGUGUCCCCGGAUGAGUGUACCUGAAGAAAAAGCAUCGGCUAACUCCGUGCCAGCAGCCGCGGUAAUACGGAGGAUGCGAGCGUUAUCCGGAUUUAUUGGGUUUAAAGGGUGCGCAGGCGGUCUGUUAAGUCAGCGGUCAAAGCCCGGGGCUCAACCCCGGCCCGCCGUUGAAACUGGCAGUCGCGAGUUGGAGAGAAGUAUGCGGAAUGCGCGGUGUAGCGGUGAAAUGCAUAGAUAUCGCGCAGAACUCCGAUUGCGAAGGCAGCAUGCCGGCUCCACACUGACGCUGAGGCACGAAAGCGUGGGUAUCGAACAGGAUUAGAUACCCUUGUAGUC
This 459-nucleotide ribosomal RNA is filed under the name uncultured bacterium. RNAcentral describes it as "partial 16S ribosomal RNA". It matches the Rfam family "Bacterial small subunit ribosomal RNA", at positions 338 to 795 of the family's 1533-position model. The record is from RNAcentral.